GAGUUUGAUCAUGGCUCAGGACGAACGCUGGCGGCGUGCCUAAUACAUGCAAGUCGAGCGAGGGUUUUCGGACCCUAGCGGCGGACGGGUGAGUAACACGUAGGCAACCUACCUCUCAGACCGGGAUAACAUAGGGAAACUUAUGGCUAAUACCGGAUAGGUUUUUGGACUGCAUGAUCCGAAAGAAAAGAUGGCUUUUGGCUAUCACUGGGAGAUGGGCCUGCGGCGCAUUAGCUAGUUGGU
Molecule: ribosomal RNA, 243 nt
Filed under: uncultured microorganism
Description: partial 16S ribosomal RNA
Rfam family: Bacterial small subunit ribosomal RNA
Source: RNAcentral